Molecule: long non-coding RNA, 1131 nt
Filed under: Serinus canaria (Common canary)
Lineage: Eukaryota; Metazoa; Chordata; Aves; Passeriformes; Fringillidae
Description: lncRNA (ENSSCAG00000003211.1)
Source: RNAcentral
CUGAAAGGGAGCAAGGCUUGCUCUUCUUUUCAGCAGUCCCUGUUUCAUCUCACAGGAUUGAAAAGGAGAGAGAAUGAGCUUGAGUCAAAGAAUGGGAAUAGGGACAGCAAUGUUAAAAGCUUACAUCUGCCAUCUUCAAAAGUGGAGAUUCCUACUUUCAAAAUUAAAGAAACCCCUGAAGUGGAGGCACUACAGAAAAAAACCUGUUUGCAGACAUAUUAGAUACCUGUCCAGAAGAAACCUGGAACAUCCUUAGCAGAGGAUCAGAGACUGAUGCACACCACAGAAGAAUCCCUUCACUGACUGUGAUGAGAAAAGAACAUGAGGAAGCAACACAUUUUUGCAGAACAUGAAUAGACCAGCUCGAGACUGUCAGGAGCCAGGAGUUGACUCACCCUUUGGAAUACAAUAGAGAUCAAGCUCACUGUAGAGAGAAAAAAUUGCCCAGAGCAAGUUCAAAGGAACAGCUGAAGUCACUGGAGAAUAUGUGAAAUCAGAAGAAAUGCAAAUGUUAAAACAGCAGAUUGCUGGACUGCAGGAGGAGUUCAAGAGAGCUGAGUCCUACUGGCAUGCUGCCUGCAGCAAACUGAGAGACCAGGCUGAGCUGCUGACCAGGCAGAAUUUGGAGCUUCGAGAUGAGCUCAGAGCUUCACAACAUCAGAGACAGAAAGCAGAAAAAAACCCCCAAAGCUAAAACUUUCAUGGACAGAAAAUCAGAGACCCUGGUACUGUAAGAUACUCUCUGCUUAAUACUGUUUGAAAAAUUCAGUAGUUUUUUUUUUGGAGCUGUCAUGUGUGAAUACUGUCCCUCCACUCUUGCUUAGCCUGAAGGGGGGAAAGUCAGCUCUACAGUGAGCCAUGUUAAAAUACACUCUUUGUGUGGCCCUCUUCCACCUAGCCUUUUUAUCCAGGAGGUGUGCAGUUUUGCCAGGUGAUGCAGCCAGCCUAUCACAGACUCUUAGGUCAGGUGUCUCCCUCCACUAACUAGAAAAGAAGUCUAGAUAAUUAAUUUACUUUCAGUGACUAAAUUAAAGCUUUCUAAAAAGCCUCCUGAAAAUAAUUCUACUCUUUAUAUAUAGUGUCAUUGACCUGUUCAAUAAAGCAUCUCUUCAGCCUGGAAAAAAAUAUAGC